AGAGUUGCAUAUCGUGGGGUGAGUGGUAGCUGUGUUACGGCUGUGCUGGGACUGUGUAGGGGUGUAGUAGGGAUGUGUUAGGGGCUGUAUUAGUAGAGGUGUGUGUUAGUUUGUUAGGGAUGCAGUAGUAGAGGUUUAAGGGUGUGAGGGAGACUUGGGGUGAAGGGCAGUUGUGUGAAGGGUGUGUUAGGGGUGUGUUAAGGUGCAGUAGGGAUGUGUUAGGGGGUGUACUUAGUAGAGGUGUGUGUUAGUUUGUUAAGGGUUUAGUAUAGUGAAGGAGACUUGGGGUGAAGGAUAGUUGUAUGAAAGGUGUGUUAAGGGUGUGUUAAGGGUCAUACUAAGGAUAUGUUCAGAGGUGUAGAAGUAGGGG
Molecule: long non-coding RNA, 370 nt
Organism: Eriocheir sinensis (Chinese mitten crab)
Lineage: Eukaryota; Metazoa; Arthropoda; Malacostraca; Decapoda; Varunidae
Exons: 2
Source: RefSeq, a predicted model, not a curated record